Molecule: long non-coding RNA, 395 nt
Organism: Hyla sarda
Lineage: Eukaryota; Metazoa; Chordata; Amphibia; Anura; Hylidae
Exons: 3
Source: RefSeq, a predicted model, not a curated record
AGGGUCGAAGCAUGGGCCAGAUAUAUUGAUGACGUGAUCUUCAUCUGGAAAGGAACCGAGGAUGAAUUGAGAACAUUCAUGAGCCACCUUAACUCAAAUGACUUAAACAUCAAGUUGACAUACAAGAUGAGGGAUUCGAAGCAAGGGCAUGUGAACUCUGGGAGCGAUUCCGAGAACGGGGGUACCAGGAAAAUUGGAUCUUGAGGGCAUAUCUAAGGGCCAAACAUACUAAACGCGAGAGUCUUCUGCAAUCAAAACCUAAGAAAGAUGGUGAUAACCAGGGAUGACGACGAGAGAGUUGAAGAAAAGAACAAGGGAACACGUCUUGAGUAUAUUGGCGGCAAAUGAAGAAUCGGAUCUACGAAGGCUCACAACAGUUCCACGACAUUUCAAGC